CUCCCUUCCCCCUCCCUCUUCGUCCUACCCCUUCCCCCAUCUCCCCCUCCUCUUUUUCCUCCUCUCCCUUCUCUUCUUCCUCCUCCUCCUCUUCCUCUUCUUCUUCCCCCUCCUCCUUUUCCUCCUCCUGGCCCAUCCUGGGCCAAGUGGUCCUGCCGCUGGUGUGCCGCCAGGAGCCUCCUUAGCUGCCUUCCCCGGUGCCCACACUGACCAUCUGUCAACUUCAUUUAGACAUUGCAGCCCUCAGCCACACGCCAGGGUGCCAGACGCCCAAAGGUUCUGCAGUUCACAGAUGAAGACGAUUUCCUCUCCCCUGAGUGUGCUGUUCUCUCUCUUGGCUCCAGGCUGUUGAACAUGUUGUUCCCUCCACCUGGAAAGCUUCUCUUUCACUCCCUGGCCCUUUACCUGAGCCUUAUUCAUGGUUUAAGUUUCAGUGGAAAUAGCACAGCUCUCAGGAAGCCUUCUCCAAGCCCCUGGGGCCCAGGAAUGAUGCUCCUCGUCUACAGCCACUUGGUCCCAAGACUUGCCUCUGGUCCAGCGCUCCCAUGGGCAUGGUCCUCGCCUAUGCACAAGGAGACCUGGAGGGCAGGGGCUGUGUUUUGCUUUUGUUUUGUUGUCAGUCCUGGGUGCCUGGCACAUAGGAAGGUGCUUACAAAGGUUUGGAAUUGAUCAAAAUCGGUCGGAGAACUUCAUUUUACCCUUGGAUUUCCUAUGCAUAUAAUUCAACGGGAACCUCCCUAUUUUAUUGAAAGCAUAUGACAGACCAAAACGCCACAGAUAUGAAAGAAAGGUAAGUAAUCCAUUAUUAAAAAUAGCUGUUACCUGAGCCUGGUGCUGUGCAAAUCCUAAAACAAGGUAGGUUUGUUCUCCUGAGACCGUGGAUUAAAAGGACUGCCUCAUUGAUUGUGGCUUAAAAAGAUUCUCUCAUCAAGCAGAGUAUGUGUGUCUCUCUCUCCCAGAAUUAAUUCUCGAUAUGACUCCAGCUGAUGGAAAUGCAGCAUCUUCAGGAGCCAGACCGCUUCGUUAUACUCUUAGGGUUCUGGCUUAGCAACUGCUCAUUCCCAUUCCUAGAUAAUAACAGCUAACUCUAAGUCGUGCUUACUAUGUGCCAGGCACUGUUCUAAGCACUGCGCAUAUAAUAACGCACUUAACCUUUACAAGAACUUUGUGAGGUAAUCACUAUUAUUAUCAUUAUUAUGCCCAUUUUAUGAGUAAGGAAGCAAGCACAGAGAGGUUAAGUAACCUGCCCAAGGUUACAACAGAUAAAACAUGGUAGAGCUGGGAUUCAAACCGGGGCAGUCUGGCUUCAGAGUCUAUGCUCUUAAUUACUAUGCUACAUUGCUUCUUAACCCUGAAAUCAACACUUGAACUUUAAAAAUCAGCUCUAGACGCAACAGCUGAUACUGGGUUGAGGAUCCCAUUGUAGGGGUCACUGUGAACAAGAGACCCUUCCCCCAGGUGACAGCAAAUGAUGAGGCUAAGGCCAGUGGCUCAACACCUGAGCCCCAAGCCUUGGGGAGUCCCCUGCCAAGCGCAGUGGUGUGCUAGAGUAGGCUUCUACUGCUUAGGACACAACCACCAAUUGUCGACUAGUCAGGAACGCUGCAUCCAGUGUUAGACUGUCGAUGGCUUGAAAUCAGCCACACUAGGAGUAUUUACACCACAGAAAUUGGCAAACACUACAAAUCAGAGACCAUAUCCCCAAACACUGUCCCUGCUGGAGGAUGCUGAUGGAGGAUUUCAAUCAUCUUGACUGAAAGAGCCUAGUGUGAGCCUGGAGAAUGUUUUUUACUUUCCCAGGGCCUGGCUGAGCUGGCCUGGAUUAGAUCUAUAAGAUGUUUUCAAUUGCUGGUAUCUGCAUGAAGGCUUUCUUUGAAGGCAUGGAAAGCCACUCUGCCUAAUGAAAGGCGGCCCAGAGUGUCAAGGAAUCAACAUCCCCCGGCUCCCACUAACCCCAGAACCUCUCCACCCAGGGCAGGGAACAAGGGUGUUCCUCUGGCCAUUAGUGCGGGUCUUCUCAAGGUAGGCCUUUUCUGUGGUCCCCGGAGCUUCCACACAGCCUUCAGCUACAGUCACUCAGAGCAGUAGUUGACGUGGUAACUCAGCCUUUAUGUGCUGUCCUCAAUUCACAGGCUCAACUUCCUGUCUUCCUCCUGGUAUUUCUUGCACCUCCCAACUAAACUUGUAGUCCAGUUCUUUUCGGAGAGUGCUUUCGGGAACGCCCCAACUAAGAGGGGCUGAAUGGGCAGUCCCCAGUGCUUGGUGUGCAAAGGUGGGGAGUCCUGGCCAAAGCGCUGGGCUGCCUCAGCCCUCUCCCAGUGCUAGUCCUGCUCCCUGACUCUUGCUCUGUAUUUUAGAGACUCUCUUCCAUGGCUUUGCUGGCCCUGCUGCCCAGUUUCGUGGUCUGGGCCCUGCUGCCCACCAUGCUCCUGGAGGUGAUGGUACACUGCUGACUGCCCAGCCUGCGGCUCAGGGGCAUGCCCAUUUCUCCAAGGAAGACCCUGUAGCAUCUAAAAGAGUUUCCCUGCAUGCAAGGAGGGACAUGAGCUCAUUAUCAUCAUUCUGACACUAGCUGCCAGGCGUUUCCCUCUAAGCCCAGAGUUGAGAUCGUCUGAGUCUCCUUCCAGGAGUGCAACAUGAACUUGGCAGAAGGAAUCCACAAGUUUGCGUGGGUGUGACAGAACAGACAUCACUAGCAGAACGUUUUGGGAAGCAGUCUGUCUAAACUGGACUUUUCCCGGGCCCGGCAGGGAGCAGAGAGCAUGAGCCGAUACGUUUGAUUGUGGCGAUCCCCUCUAUCCUUUAGAUUGCUUCCAACUCAGAGCUAAGGCCUGCGCUUGGCUGGAGGAGUGCUCAGCGCUAACAGCACGUUUUCAUUCUCCAGAACAGCCAAGAGGGGAAGUGCGGGAGGAAUUGAGGAGUCAGGGCUUCCGAGCCACUCUGACCCAAGAGCCCAGCUGGAGGGACAGGCAGGGGCGUGGCUCCCUCCCAGGCCACUGGAGCUCUACCCGCCCUGUCCUGUAUCACUCCCAUUUCUCCAGAGCCUGACUUCUAAAUGUAGAUUGUGUAUUUUGUUAAGUCCUGUGUUUGUUUUCUGACUUUGGUAAAAAGCUGUAGGUGGGAGCAAAAUGAUCUGUUGAAGAAAUUUAAAAGCAAAUUUAUUCAAGCGCACAAUAUGGAGUUAUUUCACAUCCUGGGACAAAGGAAAAGUGAGCACCAAGAGGGAAACUGACUGUGGCCUGUGGGCAGCAGAAGUUAACACCAUAUUCACUGUAAGAAUUGAACUCACUGCAGUUACCAGGAGUGUUUCAUUCCUACCUAACACCUCUGCUAGUGAAAUAUAGCAGACACAAGUUUAAGCCUGGCACGGGGAGCUUUUCUGAAGACCAUCAUGUGUGCUGUGUUUGUCUAUGGACAGAUGUGUGUUCUCCCUAGACCGGGUGCUGGGCGUCGACCCAGGUCACAGAGUUGGUGACAUCCCUGACGAGCUGCUUUGUGGUCUAAUCCGGCCUUCAGGAAGCAGGGUAAUAUACAUGGAAUCAGACAGAUGUAAUCUUCUGGGACUGGCUCCCUUCACUCAGCCCGAUGUUUUGGAGGGUCCCUGUGUGGCUGAGCUUGGUGACUUGUGCUUCGGUCUCACUGAGUGACCAUCCCUCUGCUGCUUGUUUGUCCCUCAGAGAAGGAGAGCUGCACUGACUGCCUGACCCCCCCAUUCAGACUUCACCCAGCUUCCCCGUCUCCCAUAUCCUCCUACUGGGCCCUGUGUAUGUCAUAGAGGAAGGUCUCUAAGAGGAGACUUGCUCACAAGGGAAAGGGGUGCGAGCAUGAACGCCUUCUUGGCUGCCCUGCACCAGGCCUGGGCCGACCUCGCAGGCUGGUGAGGAGAUUACCAACACAGGGACGUGACUCAUGUCGGCAAAGUAGGAUUUGAUUGGAAGGAUUUUCCCGGAAAGGAGAAGAGCUGGGGCAGCUCCAGGGGUCCCACAGGAGGAGCUAAUGGACUUCUUCAUUGGGCACCAGGGACAAAUCAGCUCAGCUGGUGUUUGGCCCUGAGUCCCACUGCUCCAGAGUGGGAGUCUUGGGGAAGAGAAGGCCUGGCCUGCCUCAGGUGGGAGAGGGUAACCCGCAGAGUGGUACCCUGCAGAGAGAGGCGGCUCCACCAGAGCGGUCAGGUGCUGGGACCAGGGGAAGGGGCAGACGCUGGGAUGGCAGGUCAAAGUUUGACUCCUCCAGAAAAAUACCAGCUCCCCCAAAUGAGGGUGGGUCUAUCUGCAGGGGUCAUGUAACCCUGAUCAUUCAUGCUUUUCCUGGGCCUGAGAGUGGAUCUGGAAUACACUGUAUUAAAUAAUAAUAUUUAUUACUAUUUGGGUUGGUAUUUUCAGGGCUUUUCUCUAGUUUCUAGAUUUGCCCUCCUUUAGUGUUCCCACAUUUAUUUUAUUUUUGUAUUUAAUGUUAGUAUUUUCAUGUUAUAUUUGUACACACACAUGCAUGAUUGUUUCCAUGCCUUGAGUCCCUUGGUGCUAGUUGCAUUUUUAGGUUAUAUCAACUCUGCUACCCUGAGAAUCACGCUUGGCAUCUUCAGACUUUGUUUUUAAACCAACAAAUGAAGGACUGAUCUGCUCCUCUCAUCCCAGGGUCAGAGCACUGGCCUGGGAGCCAUCACUGGAGCCAGGAAAGCAGCCCUCGAUGCCUUGCUUAGGAUGAAACUUCUGGAAAACAGCCCAAUCUCCCUCAGCCUUGGUUUCCUGUCUGUGAAAUAAGCAUGCUGGUGUUCUACACCUAAUUCCAAAAGCUGAGAUUUUGUGCAAAAUUUCAGUUGUUGAAAACACACUGGGGGAAAAUGUGAUUGGAUGUACAUGCUGUGAUCCUUUAGAAUAACAAGUUGUGUGUAUCACUGUACCCUGAUGGUCUCCAAUAUGUUUUGUUGUGUCUCUGAGUAUUGUAAUUAUGUUAAUAAUGCUAUAAUGAAACUUAUCCAUGAAAUACACACUUGAUCCCCAGUUGAUUGAGUCUAGGGGAAAGAAAGCGCAUCCA
Equus asinus (donkey) is the source of this 5034-nucleotide long non-coding RNA. The record is from Ensembl. NCBI's taxonomy places the organism in Eukaryota, Metazoa, Chordata, Mammalia, Perissodactyla, Equidae.